AUUGAACGCUGGCGGCAUGCCUUACACAUGCAAGUCGAACGGCAGCACGGGAGCAAUCCUGGUGGCGAGUGGCGAACGGGUGAGUAAUAUAUCGGAACGUGCCCGGUCGUGGGGGAUAACGUAGCGAAAGCUACGCUAAUACCGCAUACGAUCUACGGAUGAAAGCGGGGGAUCGCAAGACCUCGCGCGAUUGGAGCGGCCGAUAUCAGAUUAGGUAGUUGGUGAGGUAAAGGCUCACCAAGCCGACGAUCUGUAGCUGGUCUGAGAGGACGACCAGCCACACUGGGACUGAGACACGGCCCAGACUCCUACGGGAGGCAGCAGUGGGGAAUUUUGGACAAUGGACGCAAGUCUGAUCCAGCCAUUCCGCGUGCAGGAUGAAGACCCUCGGG
RNAcentral lists this ribosomal RNA (392 nucleotides) under uncultured bacterium. Its description in RNAcentral is "bacterial SSU rRNA". It matches the Rfam family "Bacterial small subunit ribosomal RNA", at positions 30 to 422 of the family's 1533-position model. The record is from RNAcentral.